Molecule: long non-coding RNA, 416 nt
Organism: Rattus norvegicus (Norway rat)
Lineage: Eukaryota; Metazoa; Chordata; Mammalia; Rodentia; Muridae
Source: RefSeq, a predicted model, not a curated record
AAAGAUCUAGAAUCAAAGAUCCAGUAGCAUGGAGGGGGGAUCACGUGGAAGGUACAGAGGCAGAAUUAUCAUUUCAGCAGUGCUGGGCCUAAAGAUAACCCUCUUCGGUGGGUAUGGUUAUCUGAUGAAGAAAAGUUCCUGUGUUUUGAAGCUCCUUUGUCACAGAUGGAGUCGAAAUGAUGCAGUAAAAGAAAAAUGUUCAUGUUUCACUCAGCUGGUGAGUGUUGGGAUAAGAAGCCAGACCUAGCAAACUGGAAUCCUGUCACUUCCUCUGUAGACACACACUGGAGCCUAAAGAAGACCUCUCUCAAGCUGCUUCCAUGGAAUAGUGAUCCUGACGAUUUGUUUAUUGCCUUGGGGCUUAUUCAGGUCAAAGGUCAGCACAAUAACAAUGAAUUGUGUGGCUUCUCAAUGAC